Long non-coding RNA from Schistocerca nitens (vagrant locust), 946 nucleotides. RefSeq lists it as uncharacterized. Lineage: Eukaryota; Metazoa; Arthropoda; Insecta; Orthoptera; Acrididae. The transcript has 2 exons. The record is from RefSeq and is a predicted model, not a curated record.
UUCAUCCCUCAAAGCUACCCCUUCUUCUUCUACUGAAUUUCUUUGCUGGUAUAUGCCGCAUGCAACUUUUGUAUGUAGUAACUCAGUAAUAGGCUUUGCGGUAUUGUGAUUCCCAAGAGACGAAAAGCGGAACACAAAAUUGUUGGAGAGAAAACAGGAAACGUAAUAUACAUUCGCAUUCUAGGAGGCAAACAAGCUGAUCGGUUAAAAUGAUUGUGGUUAGAGUAUCGUAUUUUCCCAUAGAAUAUAAAUGUAUAUGAUAUAUUUAAUACUGUGAUGUAUGUACUCAUCCUGCACGUGUAGUGUCGUACUCAUGAAUGUUAUAAACUGCAGCUGUGUUGUAUGCAACUUAGUACUGUUGUAGUGGCUGUUGGAAGGCAUCUUCAAAUGUAACUGUCGUUUAAACAUGUUGAGAUGUUAAUUAAUGGAGUUGUUGGACUUUAUUUUGGCCACUGAAGUAUAUAGCGAUGAAACUCGCUAAAAACAGGAAUAGGAAGCAGAAAACUGGAGAUACUGUGGGAAAUUCACAUUUGCAAAAUAAGAUGCUGAAAUAGCAGAAACGCAUCACAAAUCCAGUACCACACCAGGGCUACAGGAUUGUACAACCAAACGUUCUCUGCCAGAACCCUAUAUUUUUUGGGAUGGUUACUAAGGAUAGGCCAUGGCAUAUACCGAAGAUCAUUAUUUUAUAUUUUACCAUUUGUGCCGUAUUAAUGUCUGUUUAAUAUAUUAAUGUUAUGGCACUGUCAAUAGUAGUUUCACAAAUACAAUUUAAGAAAAUGAAACAGUUCACAUUCCGCUGUGAAAACCCACUGUCAUAUAAUUUUAUUGAAGUGGAUGACACUUGUAUAUCUUGUGUUGGAGUUACUGUUGCAAUGAAUGUCAUUUUUUUGUGUGACAUGUUAAAAACAACUGCAAUAAAAUAAAUUUGUUUAUUGCAAAUGGA